UUGAUUUGGGGAAUCAUCCAAAGGCAUCUUUUGGUGAAGAAGACCCAUGGCACCCAGUGAAGUUGAACACCCUCCUGGAGGCAAGCAGCCACCUUUUAUGAUUUUCUUUCAAUCCUUUCUACUUCCUUGCUCCUUCCUCCCCACCUCCCAUCAUCCAUAGCGUGGGUGAACUAAUCCAUCUCACAAGCGGAGUUCAGAGACUUGCCUUUCCACGCUGCUGCUCCUGUACUUUGUCCUGGCACCUCACCACCGGCAACAAGAGGCUUCUUUCAUAUUUAUCAGCACUUAAUUGCAAUCGCUGCUGCUUUAUGACCUCACAGAGGUCUUCAUCUUCAGUCAUUGUUUCCUGCUGGCUGGUGGAGCCCAGUGAUCACCGUCUUUUCCCACCAUUCAGCUCACAGAGGUGCAAGCUCAGAUGAAUUUUCCAGGCCGCAACUGGGAGAGGCAGUGGCUCAAUCACAAUUGCCUUAAAGGAAACAUUACAAACCCAAACACUGUCCAUUGGAAAAUGUUUUGGGAUGACUUAGGCAGGCCUCUUCCUUUGGAGAAUUGUCUUUGACCAAAUGGGAGUUGCCUAGCCUGGUUUUGCAAUGUUCCUUCCACUGGAGAUGAACCAUAGCCAAUGACUAACUGAUGCAGGGGCCUCAAAAAGACACUUUGCCUCAAAACUGGAUGGACAUAAGUUUCCAAUAGGACUUUGGGAAUGAAUUAAGAUGAUGAAUAUGAAUUUGGCUUCCUUGGAGGCAUUGGCAGGACCAAUGAAGGGAUAAGCUAACUGAAAAGGUUUUAGUUUGUUAUAUUUCAUGAGAGGACUGUGGUGGUCAACUCUACUGGUUGAAGGUCAGACAUGCAUCACUUCAAAGCUUGCUUCCAAGAUGUGACUCAUUUAAAUGUUCAUACCCAUCUUGCAUGGAGAGUUUUCCAGAAGCACAAAGUGAACUGAAGCAGAUGCGCAGUCAUUUUGCCUCGACAGGGAGCUUGAAGGAUCCUCCUGGGACGACAUUGAAAUGCUAGUGAAUGAUGUCAUCUUGAUCACUUUCAGGAUGAUUGCUGAGGGCUCUGAAGACCCAGAUGUGAGUGAAGUGAUGAUUUGGAAGGAGCCCGAGACACUGAAUGACCAUUCUGAAGACCACCCCACUAGGAAAAAAGGCUUUGCUAGCUAGUAACCAUAAUUAGUUGAAAACCCUAUAGUAUUAGUCCCUAAUAUAUAGAAGGGACUUUUUAUAAGCACCUGUCCUCUCUUUCUCUGCUAAUGCUGGCGUGGUGGUAAUGACUGUGAUGAUGACCUCACAUACUGAGAUGAUUCUGUUCUCUAGUAGGCUGUUCAGAUUCCUUGGCCUCUGCCUCUAGGGGCAUGUGACUGUAAGUGAUAACUAGCCUUCCUCUCUGACCGAAGUUUUUAUUAGAAGAAUGUAGUUUGGAGUGAAGUCUUCAAUAUAACUUAGGUUUGCACAGUAAAUUGUAAAACUUUAUGCCAAAAGAACUUGUCGAGAGGAUACAGAUGUCUGACAGUAUCAAAGGUGCUGUUUGAGGCCAUGCUCAUGGAGGGCAAGAAUCAGUCAGUUCUGGGGAUCCAGGCAUCAAGAAUACUGUCAUUGGUACCAAGUACCAAUUAGACCAGAGGACUACUUUGUUGUAAGCUAUUACAGGUUAUCGUAACCAAGUAUUUCAUAUUUCAAAAUUACUAAAAUAAUAGACUUGAAAUCACAAAAGUGUGAUUAAUUAUUGAGAUAUGUAGAUACAUUUAUUAGCUUUCUAUAAUCUAGUCCUAUAUCAAAGCAUUGUACUUUCCCCCAUAAAUAUACGUAACUGUUAGUUUAUUAGAAAUAAAUUAAAUCCUGCCAUGGGUCUUCUCUGAGGUUUACCAUUUUUUUCAUCCUUACUUAAAAGUUAUGUUUUUAAAAAUGUGCACAAAAUUUUAAUAAC
RNAcentral lists this small RNA (1926 nucleotides) under Rattus norvegicus (Norway rat). Its description in RNAcentral is "uncharacterized LOC102547655". Lineage: Eukaryota; Metazoa; Chordata; Mammalia; Rodentia; Muridae. The record is from RNAcentral.